Molecule: long non-coding RNA, 1570 nt
Organism: Oreochromis niloticus (Nile tilapia)
Lineage: Eukaryota; Metazoa; Chordata; Actinopteri; Cichliformes; Cichlidae
Exons: 7
Source: RefSeq, a predicted model, not a curated record
CUUCCUUAAAUCCUGCAAGCUCAUGCUGGGCAAGAGUGUCUCCGCAGCUAGUUUGGGAAAUACCAAGUUCAUGGGGGGAGGGGGGUAUUACAAACUGUAGCUGUAAAAACAAAAAAUGGUCACAAAUAAGGUAAAAUGAAAUAACACCUAUAAGAGUUUAUUUUAAAUCAAUGAAGAAGAAAUUUACCUAUCAUACUGACUGUGUUUUAUGAACGUACAAACCACUAAAUUGUAUAUAGAAGCAAAAAUUGAGAUGUCCACCCCCUUCAUGUUCUAUGUUAGUUGUUACCUAACUCCGUUUGAAUUUGGAGUCACAGGAAUCUUCUGCACUUGAGCGUUGAAAGACAAAAUGUAAGAGAAAACUUCGUCAAGGAAGAGAGCUGCAAGCAUUGAAGAGCGCAUGCUUUUAACAUUGACCCGUGAUGAUCUGAGGAACCUUUUUUCUGGGCCUGAGCACUUUCUCAGAAGAAAACGUGUGGUCAAUAAUUCAUCCUGAGGAAGACCAUCCGCUAUCACAGAAACCUGAAACAACUUCUUCACCCAUGGUAGUUGCUACAGGCCCUCCAACUGCUGAUGCUAAUGUAGGCCAGCUGAAAACCUUGCAGCUCCCCAGUCCUCCGGAAUAUGUUGUGUACACCGACAGUGAGUUGGAGCAAUGCCGAAAGAGUUACCUGGAGUUGGCCUGCUCCGGCAGGGAACAAGCAUGCGUCAUGUCAAAAGAACUGAGAUGCAGAUUGGUGAGAAAUACAAUCACAAGUAUGGUGUCCCUUUUGAGAGCAAGCCAAGGCCAAAUGGAGCGAUACCCCUCUAAGACCGAAAUCACUGCAAUGGCUAAAAAAAGUUGUGGAAUAUUAUCCUAUGCUGCAGGAUAAUGAUGCAAGCGUAAAACACGAGAGCAUUAAUGCCAAGUUACAAAAAAGGCUGCAAAAUAUGAAAACCCCAGUAAAAAGGCAAGGACCAACACCGGAGAGGGGACGGCCCAAGAGAAGGCUCACUGACCUCUCCCCAAGGGAUGAAGAAGCUGAUGAUGAAGAUGCUGAUCGCAGUUCUUCCAGUGGUGCAUCUACUCUGUUAUCACCUGUCAGAAAUUCUGACGAUAACUCCACUUCAUCUGACAAGGAUAGUCGGCAAAUACAAGCAAGACAUUACAAAACAUUACAAGAAAUGUGCAAGAAGGCAAAACCAAACCAAGAAGAUGUGUCCCAGCUAUUAGACCUCGAGUUUGAAGCCAGAAGAUCCUUCAUUGACUCAGACACCAUGAAAGAGGAGAACAGAGCUCGCCUCAUCUUGGAUGCAUAUCCAUGCUUUAAAGAAUUGCAUCAUGCAUUGGGUUAGCUUCGCAGAAUUUUGGAUCCCCACAACAAGUUCAUCAGUCAAAUAAAACUGAGAUGGGAAGAAUUCUGCUCCAGGGUAGAGUUCGACGGUGUGUCAAAGAAGGCAAUGAAUCCACCAAUGACCAUGGACAAAACUGAAGCCCACCUUGCACUGAUGAAGGCUCUUCCAACGCUCUUUCCCACACCUGCCCAUCCACCAAAAAAGAUGGGGAAUGCUUCUGAAGCAUUUCUACAUG